This 81-nucleotide transfer RNA is filed under the name Ipomoea nil (Japanese morning glory). It matches the Rfam family "tRNA". From Rfam's summary of the family: Transfer RNA (tRNA) molecules are approximately 80 nucleotides in length. Their secondary structure includes four short double-helical elements and three loops (D, anti-codon, and T loops). The record is from Rfam by way of RNAcentral. Lineage: Eukaryota; Viridiplantae; Streptophyta; Magnoliopsida; Solanales; Convolvulaceae.
GUUGAGAUGGUGGAGUUGAUUUAAGGUGUCAGAUUAAGGUUCUGAUCUGAAAGGGCGUGAGUUCAAAUCUCAUUCUCAACA